CUGAGCCCGGCGGCCUGUGGGACUUUAGCAAAUGCCAAAGCGCUCGCCGCGGGCGCCGAGAUGCCUGGCCUUAAUGUAAAGAGGCUGGUGAAACCUCGUUAGCGAGAAGAGCAGGCUGCUGGCGAAGUCACGACGUGCUGCAAAUGGCCUCAGCGAGCCUGGGCUCUGGAAUCUGGGCGUCGGGACAAUUGAUCUCUGUAAUCAAGACCCCGGGGGUCUCGGCCUUCUGUUUCCUGUCUCAUUCCUGACUGUUCCAGGGGCGGGGACAGAUGGGGAACAAGGGGAGGCAGAGAGCAGGGACUGUUUUCCUACCAGAAACACAUUUGCAGUCGUCCUAGAAGGAGAAAUUCAUUAACAGUGGGGUUCGAGGAAAGAAUGACAACUUGGUUCUCACAUUUGGAUGUGAUCCGUUCACUUCGCUUUUUAGGCUGCCACCACCAUCUCUCACGUGCUUUGUCGCCAUCGUUCUGACUGCUUUCCUGCUCCAAGAUUUGCCCAUUCCUGUCGGGCCCACCGUAGCUCAGAGUGACUGCUGCUAAAUGCUCGGGACAUGCCGCUACAUUAAACUCAAGGGAUUUCCCAUUACCCUCAGAUGCAGGCCUAACACUGAACUUGGCAUUCACGGCCAUGAGGCUCUGGCCUCUGAUUACUGCCCCAGCCCCGUCUCUAGACACCUUCCACUCCCUUUCCUCAGUUAAGGGUUUGUGAGAUGAAUACGUGGAUCAAUGAGUUAAUUCUAGAAUUAUCAGCAAUAUUAUCAGAAUAGAAGAAGUCCUCCAUAAUCUGACGAUGGAUUCUCAGUAAUCGCCUCAGAUGGGAAGUCAGCUCCGCCCUGGAGUCCAGGAAACCUUAAAGGCUAGUUGUUGCUGCUGAUUUUACUGUGUAAUCUAUCACAGGUUGCUUCCAGUCUCUGUUCCUUUAUUCAUAAUUUAGAGCUGGCCAUUGCUGCUCUUGGAGAUAAGCUGACCCCUGUAUUGGGCAGUGCAGUUGGGCCAGCUCUGCCAGGCCCAGUGACAGUGACAUGCCCACAUCAGCCUGUCCACACCUCCUCCUCAGCCAGAAGCCACAGGACACGGAGGAGUGUUGCAGAUUCCAGCGUUACGUUCUAAUGCUUCCUGAAGUCCAGGGUCCAGAACUAAUGCUUCCUGAAGUCCAGGGUUCAUCUGCAUGCCUCAGGGAUGAGCAGAAAGGGGCUUCCCUGGUGGCACAGUGGUUGAGAAUCUGCCUGCCAAUGCAGGGGACACGGGUUCGAGCCCUGGUCUGGGAAGAUCCCACAUGCCACGGAGCAACUAGGCCCGUGAGCCACAACUACUGAGCCUGCGCGUCUGGAGCCUGUGCUCUGCAACGGGAGAGGCCGCGAUAGUGAGAGGCCCGCGCACCACGAUGAAGAGUGGCCCCCGCUUGCCGCAACUGGAGAAACCCCUCGCAC
Molecule: long non-coding RNA, 1429 nt
Organism: Balaenoptera acutorostrata (minke whale)
Lineage: Eukaryota; Metazoa; Chordata; Mammalia; Artiodactyla; Balaenopteridae
Exons: 3
Source: RefSeq, a predicted model, not a curated record